UUUUGCCCUUGGGCCAUCUGCAACCAGACAGCAAUAAACUCUUUGCUAGUUGCUUGAACUUUGCCUGCCUCAGUAGUCUCAAUUUUGUCUGUCUGAUCUUACAGGAACGAGAGAGUCUAUUUAUAAUUAUGCAUCCAUUUGUUGACUCCCUAUAAGGAAGGUAAAUGCAGUUGGACAAAGAUUGAUUCUGGAAAGGUUACCUGGGCAUUUAGUUGAUCUUACCUGAAUAUCUUGACCCAACUCCUCCUCUAGUCAGCUGUGUUGAGUCUCCUAGACAGAUUUCUUAAACACUUUGGGAGAUGAAUGCCUGAAAGGAGAUGAUACUUUGAAG
This is a long non-coding RNA of Heterocephalus glaber (naked mole-rat), 331 nucleotides long. NCBI's taxonomy places the organism in Eukaryota, Metazoa, Chordata, Mammalia, Rodentia, Bathyergidae. The record is from Ensembl.